CGAAUCAAUAACAUAUGUUAUAAAUUACAAUCGAAGAUAAAAUCGAUAGUUGAAAAUAUAUAUUUUUUAUAUAUAUUUAUAAUGUAAUAUAAUCCUUAUAUUAUAUAAAUUAUACGUGUUUACAUUAUAAAUUACACGAUUAAAUUUAUAUUAUUCGUCUAUUUAAAAUAUAAACGUAAUUAAUAUUUUCACAUAUCGAUUCUAUUCGUGAUAUCGUAAUAAUCGAUACGAUUGCAGCGCUAUAAGUAGGAUCAAGACGCCAUGACAGUUUUCUUCCCGCUGGACACGAGUGAUUGAUCGAAUUUUAUUUCGUAAAAUAAUUAUCGAUAUUCAAGCAAAACUAGUGCAUUUAAAAGUGUGUACAGUGUAAAAUAUCAAAAAUUAACAACGGAAUGGAUCAACACAUGUAAAACAAUCGAAGAAUUUCAACGAUAAGUGCCAUCUGAACCGAUGGAUGCAACUGCACUGCGAACAAGAAGGUUUCUACCUUCGUAUCAGAUGCACACCAGAUCUCUACAAUUCCGUUACCGACGGAUGCUCGCGGUUUACUGUAGUCGGUAAGCUAGGAAACCCUGUACACUCUCUAUUUAUCAUCGAUAAUACAGAUCUCUAUAGAACUAUAAUCUAUUCCAUUUAAAAUUGUUAAUUUCUAUUUUUUGAAUAAACCUAUUAAAAACAUUAAA
Apis cerana (Asiatic honeybee) is the source of this 683-nucleotide long non-coding RNA. RefSeq lists it as uncharacterized. NCBI's taxonomy places the organism in Eukaryota, Metazoa, Arthropoda, Insecta, Hymenoptera, Apidae. The record is from RefSeq and is a predicted model, not a curated record.